Long non-coding RNA from Ictalurus punctatus (channel catfish), 3079 nucleotides. The record is from Ensembl. Lineage: Eukaryota; Metazoa; Chordata; Actinopteri; Siluriformes; Ictaluridae.
CACCCGUGAAUUCGUGUGAAUUCUGCAAACUACAAACAGGCAUCCCUCAAAGAGCCUGAGAUAAUGCUGUGUUCUAAGUUUACUAUGCAGUGAGAAAAGAACAGAAGAGUGAAACACCUCAUGUGACUCUCAGGCGGCAGCAGAUCUGACAUCAAUGGACCAAGCAGCUUACACUUCAAGUUCAGAAGCUUCUGGGGGUCCUACUUGCUCAUAUCUCAUCUUUUACUCUCUGAUGAUGCUGAUCUUGUGGUGUUUCCUUCUGUUGACACACUUCCUCUGCCAUGUGCAUCCACAGGAGUGUGACACUAAGUUUCAAUAUAAAGACAAUAAUAGUGUACGAUGCUGCAAGAAAUGUCCACUAGGUCAACGCAUGAGGACGAGAUGUUCGAACCUUUCUGACACGGUCUGUACAAGUUGUCGUCGUGACUUAUACAUGGAUGAAUACAAUCAGGAACUAGAAUGCAAAAGGUGCUCUCAAUGCACCAAAGAACACAUGGUGUAUAAGAAGAACUGCUCUAGUGUCUCUGAUGCAGUGUGUGACUGUGAGAGUGGAUAUAAAUGCAACAGUAAACCCUGCACAGACUGUGUGAAAAUCCCAAUUAUGACAACAACAACAACAACACCAACAACAACAACAACAACAACAACAACAACAACCUCAAAAGUAAUUACUAAUGUCAUAAAAGAAGCAACAGCCUCCCAAGACACUGUGUGGAUCACUCUGAGUCUGUGUUGUGUGUGCAUUCUGCUUACCUGUUUCAUUCUCAUCAGCAGACACACACCUCCAUGUGGAUGGAUCAUGUUGGCUUCAGCUGGUUCUUUUGGGGGAUCCAAGAAACCUUCAGCCGAAUCUAGUCAGUGCACAGAGGAUGAGGAAGUGCCGAUGCCAGUCCAGGAGGUGUGUGAACAUAAGGAGUGGAAAGAAGAAGUCUGAGGGAGACAGAGGGAAGCGGCGAGACCGAGGCAGGAAAAGGCACAUAAGAGUGUGGAUUGACUAUGAACUGUAACAUGAAGAGAUGUGAAGUGAAGUGAAAUGGCUCAUGAAGAGAGGAGCAACAGACACACUCAUCCUGCACCUAAACUAAUGGGAUACUGAGAGAGAAAGGAAAGGAACAACACCACUUAUGUCCACUGUAUAGCACAAUUCAACUACUUAAUGCGCCAAUGAAACAGGGCCAUAAUUCUAAAUCAAUAUCACAUUUUAAAAAAGGAGGUGGAAAAAGGAGUUCGGGUUACUGUCUGCAUGGAUUCUCCUCGUGUCCAUUUGUCUUUCCUCCAGUUUCUCAAUUCUCCUCCAACCUCCCAAAAAAAUAAAUGCAAUGGACUGGAGUACCAUCUAUGGUGUAUUCCUGCCUCACUCCCAGUGUUCCCACAAUAGGUUCUGGAUUUAUGGUUAUUGAAGAUGAACAAAUGUUUUUUUUUAAAUAGCUGCAUUCAUUUGUUUGUGCUAAUGGAUUGCUUUCAAAAAAUGCAAUCAUAUAAACAAAGGUGAAAAGCUCAGGCUUUGUUUUCCUUUUUUUUAUUUUGGAAAGCAUACUGUCUAUAGUUUAUAUGAUUUUUAUGGUUUAUUAUUGUUUAUAUAGAUAGUUGAUUCACUAGAUCAUAGAUUCAUUAGAUAUAUGUGUGAUUGUUAGUAGUUGGCCCAAGCAAAGGAAGUUGAGUACAAUCUUGGUAGGCAAAUUAAACACCUUGUUGCCAUCUUUAAAAUUGCAACAAAAAAAAAUUUAUUUAGGGGCCAAACAAAUUGUAGGCAUAAUAUUGCAGUUGUAUGUUGUUCUUUUGUUUUUUUUUUUGUUUUUUUAAAUCUCUGUGUAUCUCAGUAUUCAAAAGUUGCACAUGAAUGAAGGACUAAGGGACUCCAAGAAAUUUUGUCUAAAUUCACCUCUAAGGGGUGCUAUAUUUCACAAAUUAGUAAAACUGCUCAUAACCUCAACUUUAACAUCAAAUCAUGAUUUUUCUUUCUAUUGAUUGCCUUGGCGGUGUCGAAUGUUCUUGAUGUAACAAACAGGAAGUAUUUCUGUUUAAUGGGCUAAUUUGAGGGAAUUUUUGUCCACCAUUUUUGUAGAAUCAUCACAAACUUUUGGUCCAUCCAUAAAGUACAACAAAUUUGACAGAAAGUCACCAAACUGGAAGUGAGUCCAUUACUCAGGAACACUUUCAUGUAUUGACAACAAACAUAGCACAUGUGUUUAGCAAUAUGAUCUAAUGUUAGCAAACAAACUCAAUUAAUUAGUUAAUUUGCAACUUGGCAGGGCUACUGAAAACAGGAAGUGAAGCAAUAUCUCAGCAAUGGCUUAACAUAUUAAAUUUAUUAUAUUUCCUUGUACUAAGAAACUGCUGCCCUAGAAAGGUAAAAAGGUUGAACUAUUUAAAAUAAAUAUGAAACCACUAUUUAAAAUAAAGGAUUGUUUUUUAGUAAUAGAAUCCAUGAUGCUCUCAAUAUACACCAGUUCAGAAAAUUUAUACAAAAGUGUUCAGUAGUUUAGUAGUAGCCAAAUCAUUGUCAAUUAGGUUUUCUAGAAUGUUAUCCAUUGUAAAAUUGUACAAUAUAAACUGUAACGCUAUUAUCCCUGGUCCCUGCUAACUAGCUGUGUACAGAUGCCGUGUGUAUGUAUACUAUUCUAUAUUGUUUGAUUCCGAGCACCACAAGUUAUCCAUAUUUUAUACUGAGAAUUUUGUUUGUGGGGUUUUUGUUUGUUUGCUUGUUUGUUUGUUUUGGGGGAAAAUGCUAAAAUUAUAAAUGCAAUCUAAAUAGUGCAUUUCUAAAUUUGUACUUUGUAUAAAUUGUGUAAAUCUAUUUCUGCUUCAUUGCUACUAUGUGAAAUGAAAAAUAGCAUCUUGAUUUCUUCUUAUGAAUACAUAUUAUAUUGCAUACAGUACUUAGAGCAGCUGAUGUGUAAUAAUGAUGAAUGUUUAAGUUUAAUAAAAUACGGAGGGAAUAAAAGGCUUACCGAAGUCAUUUUUGUGGUGAAUCUGUGAAGCCAGUGUCUGAGGUUUUAGCAGUUUCUAUAUGUGGUCCAUGAGUUCAGGUGCUUAUAAAGCAUAGGUGACAGAUAUUGGUCUUGCCUUUGGUUUUAAG